CAGUCGCCACGGUAAUACGAGGGGGGCAAGCGUUGUUCGGAAUUAUUGGGCGUAAAGGGCGCGUAGGCGGUUUGGCAAGUUUGGUGUGAAAUCUUCGGGCUCAACUCGAAGUCUGCACCGAAAACUGCCGGGCUUGAGUAUGGGAGAGGUGAGUGGAAUUUCCGGUGUAGCGGUGGAAUGCGUAGAUAUCGGAAGGAACACCUGUGGCGAAAGCGGCUCACUGGACCAUUACUGACGCUGAGGCGCGAAAGCUAGGGGAGCAAACAGGAUUAGAUACCCCCGGUAGUCCCUGUCUCUUAUA
RNAcentral lists this ribosomal RNA (301 nucleotides) under uncultured bacterium. RNAcentral's name for it is "partial 16S ribosomal RNA". It matches the Rfam family "Bacterial small subunit ribosomal RNA", at positions 509 to 808 of the family's 1533-position model. The record is from RNAcentral.